AGGCCCGUAGCUCAAUUUGGCAGAGCACGGGACUCCAAAUCCCGGGGUUGUCGGUUCAACUCCGGCCGGGCCUGCCA
Molecule: transfer RNA, 77 nt
Filed under: bacterium
Lineage: Bacteria
Also listed under: 1 other name
Description: tRNA-Trp
Rfam family: tRNA
About the family: Transfer RNA (tRNA) molecules are approximately 80 nucleotides in length.
Source: RNAcentral